RNAcentral lists this ribosomal RNA (253 nucleotides) under uncultured bacterium. RNAcentral describes it as "partial 16S ribosomal RNA". It matches the Rfam family "Bacterial small subunit ribosomal RNA", at positions 524 to 776 of the family's 1533-position model. The record is from RNAcentral.
UACGUAGGGGGCAAGCGUUGUCCGGAUUUAUUGGGCGUAAAGAGCGUGUAGGCGGCUUUGCAAGUCCGUUGUGAAAACUCGAGGCUCAACCUCGAGACGCCGGUGGAAACUGCAAAGCUAGAGUCCGGAAGAGGAGAGUGGAAUUCCUGGUGUAGCGGUGAAGUGCGCAGAUAUCAGGAAGAACACCCGUGGCGAAGGCGGCUCUCUGGGACGGUACUGACGCUGAGACGCGAAAGCGUGGGGAGCGAACAGG